Molecule: ribosomal RNA, 273 nt
Filed under: uncultured bacterium
Lineage: Bacteria
Description: partial 16S ribosomal RNA
Rfam family: Bacterial small subunit ribosomal RNA
Source: RNAcentral
UACGUAGGUGGCAAGCGUUAUCCGGAAUUACUGGGCGUAAAGCGCACGCAGGCGGCUUAACAAGUUCGACGUGAAAGCUCCCGGCUUAACUGGGAGAGGUCGUUGAAAACUGGUAGGCUUGAGGCAAUGAGAGGGGUGUAGAAUUCCCGGUGUAGUGGUGGAAUGCGUAGAUAUCGGGGGGAAUACCAGUGGCGAAAGCGGCACCCUAGCGUUGUUCUGACGCUCAUGUGCGAAAGCGUGGGGAGCGAACGGGAUUAGAAACCCCAGUAGUCC